Molecule: ribosomal RNA, 253 nt
Filed under: uncultured bacterium
Lineage: Bacteria
Description: partial 16S ribosomal RNA
Rfam family: Bacterial small subunit ribosomal RNA
Source: RNAcentral
UACGGAGGGUGCAAGCGUUAAUCGGAAUUACUGGGCGUAAAGCGUGCGCAGGCGGUUUGGAAAGAAAGGUGUGAAAUCCCAGAGCUUAACUUUGGAACUGCACUUUUAACUGCCAAGCUAGAGUAUGUCAGAGGGGGGUAGAAUUCCACGUGUAGCAGUGAAAUGCGUAGAGAUGUGGAGGAAUACCGAUGGCGAAGGCAGCCCCCUGGGAUAAUACUGACGCUCAUGCACGAAAGCGUGGGGAGCAAACAGG